Molecule: non-coding RNA, 671 nt
Organism: Pogona vitticeps (central bearded dragon)
Lineage: Eukaryota; Metazoa; Chordata; Lepidosauria; Squamata; Agamidae
Source: RefSeq, a predicted model, not a curated record
CUGUUGGAAUUUUCUUCUGAAAAGUCUCAGUCCUGCAGCUCCAACUCAUCGGGGACUCAGGAACCAUAAUGGUUCACAAUUUUCUUUGUGCAGAAGUGCAAUAUUUCCCCAAGUCUGCAAAGCUUUGACCUUUGGUGCUGGUUCAUGGUAUGUGGGUAGCCAUGAACCACAGACUAUCACCCCCCCCAAAAAACCCAACCCCAAACUGGAUUGCUGUUUGUUUUUUGGGUUUUGCCACCGGGGAGGGCAGCCACUUACCGUUUCCUCUCACUGCCCCAUCAUCAUCUUGUCUUGUCCUGAAAUUGCCAUCACACCACCAUCUUGGAAAGGCAGGGUUUGCAGCUCCUUGCCCUGAAGCUGAGCCUGCUUCCUCUCAAGAUGGUGGCCGUGGAAGGCCUUCCAAGACAAAGCAUAGCUGAUCAGAUGACUUCCAAGGAUGAUGCAGUUUGGAUGCUCCAAAGCCCAGAAACUUCCCUGAGCUACACCUGGAAAGGGAUCCAAAAGUACACCAGAAUCUCCACUUUGAACUGAUGGCAGAAAAGAGGAGGUUGAAAUUAUUGAGAGACCUCUUGAUGGAGCCCCUACAGAACUGUCAAGUACUUCUUUCCAUCAAGUCCUCUGGGGACGAAUAUCAGAAUGGAAAGAGGCCACCUUUUGACCACUGGUGUCUC